This 373-nucleotide long non-coding RNA is filed under the name Drosophila guanche. The record is from RNAcentral. Lineage: Eukaryota; Metazoa; Arthropoda; Insecta; Diptera; Drosophilidae.
GUGAAAGUUCUCACAAAGUUCCACCCCAAGACGAAAUUCAUUUCAACUACUCGUACAGCAAGCCAACCCAAACCCACAUUAAAUACACAUUACCAUUAUACAGAUCGAUCAUGUUGCAUGCCACAAUGGAAACACCCUCAAGGGCUCGUUAUGAGACAUCUGGGGAGUGCGAAACAUGAAAAACUUCCAAUACGGCCCGCAUAUGACCGAUGGGAUGGCCAUCGAGACUGCAUUGGCGGUAAUUAUUUUACAAGGGUACCGAUAGAAUUCCACACUCCCUCGACUGAUGACAAAUAGUUAUAAACCAACGUGGAUCAAUGAUCUCGGCACUUUUAUGAAGUGCAGCAACUUCCUAGAAGACAGCUAAUUAAUG